UACAGAGGUCCCAAGCGUUGUUCGGAUUUACUGGGCGUAAAGGGUGCGUAGGCGGUGGGGUAAGUUUGAGGUGAAAGCUCCGGGCUCAACCCGGAAAAUGCCUUGAAAACUAUCCGGCUAGAGGGUUGGAGGGGAGACUGGAAUUCUCGGUGUAGCAGUGAAAUGCGUAGAUCUCGAGAGGAACACCAGUGGCGAAGGCGGGUCUCUGGGCCACUACUGACGCUGAGAAGCGAAAGCAUGGGGAGCGAACAGG
Molecule: ribosomal RNA, 253 nt
Filed under: uncultured bacterium
Lineage: Bacteria
Description: partial 16S ribosomal RNA
Rfam family: Bacterial small subunit ribosomal RNA
Source: RNAcentral